Gossypium arboreum is the source of this 146-nucleotide non-coding RNA. Lineage: Eukaryota; Viridiplantae; Streptophyta; Magnoliopsida; Malvales; Malvaceae. The record is from Rfam.
UGUUAAAAUUUUAAUCUAUUUCUACUGUUAAAAACCGGUAUGGCUAAUAGAAUAACCAAACGAUGACUCAUGAUGUGCCACAUGUACCUCAAACCGAUGUGCAGGGAAUUAGUUUUUAACAGUAGAAUUGGAUGAAAUUUUUAAUA